CUGGUUCUCGCGGUUCUCGCAAUAAAGGGUGGUUCCUAACGGAUCUUUUCCCUAUAUAUAUAUAUAUAUAUAGGGAAUUGAUAAAUCGAAAAUCCACCUGAGUUAAAGAAACUUAGAAAACUUCAUCUUCACCAUCCAACUCAUAUGAUCAAUGGUGGAUAUUAAAAAUUUAUAAAAAAGUUACUUUUUUUCAGAAAAAUGUUGCAGUCUGACAAAAAAAUGUAAAAUUUUUACACUUUUCUCUCUCCUCUUUCAACUGACAAAAAAUGUGAUAAGUGUUUUGUUACAUAAAAAUCUUGCUGUAAAAAAAUGUAAAAUGUUUUUUACGCACAUUACAAAAUAAAACUUUGUAAAUUAUCUAUAUCUAUACUAUAUUAAUAAGCAUAUCCAAAGGACAUCUUAAGGUCAUUGAAAUUUUCUUAAAACACCCUAAAAGCAUGAUGUACAAGUCUUUUAAGCAUUAGAAAACAUCUCUUUCCACCUAUACCCUUUUACUAAAAUAACACGGAUACAUUAGAUACAUUAGGGUUUCAAAACAUUUCAAAAUCACCCGCUCCCUGUUCCUCUCUCUCUCUCUGGCGAUUCCAGAGAUCUGGAUCUAGGGUUUUUCUCCAAGGCGAUUCAAGAUCUAGCCUUUCACAUUAACACCAGAUCGAUAAACAAAUCUCAUUCUCCAUUCAGAUCUCAAUCUCAUCUCGCACCUGCUCUCUCUCUCUCUCUUCAACCUUGGUGAUACGGCUGCUACUCAGAAGGAUCUUACAUCUGGUACUACCGUCAAUGUGUGGUGGUGGUUCUGCGACUCUGCAAUGAGAACGAAGUCUAAUGGAAGGACCGGAGUCAAAGGACUGGCUAAAGAUUUGCGAUUCGUUGAACGAUGUGAGGUGACUAGCAUUGUUCCACUCUGAGCUCCUGCUACCGAUCUUGAAAAAGGUCGUGAUGGUUUUAGUGAAAUCAAUGAAGAAUCCAAGAAGUGCUUAAUGCAAGACUGCAAUCAUGGCUGCUUCUGAUCUUUUCAACAAGUUCUAUGAAUUCGGUUUUGCAUCCACAUUAUGGAACGUUAAAAUCAUACUAUGAGACACUCCCAGAUUCAGAUUUAAAGUGCAGAAAUUAUGUGACGAAGGUUGAUAGUGUGGCAGAGUAGGCACAUGAGGAAGUAAUCCAUGUAUAGGUUGGGAAUUGUGACUCGUUUGUAGGCCCGGUUCUAUUUUCAGUAAUUGAUAUCCGGGAACAGCUACGGUCAGGCUAUGGUCAAAUGGAACGGGAGUCGUCCAAAUUGUGUCUUUAAUGAAUAAACCAACUAACUCGCUUAACGUGUUGUUUUGGGUGCACUUAACAGGUGGUUGGACGGGUUUAGUGGAUGAUGAAAACAAGCAGAAAGGCAUAUUCAAUUGCUUGCAGAUCGGACCGGGAACCACGUAUGCUGCCAUUCGGGUUGAUGGCAUUUGGAUCGACUACCGAAUCGGUUUCUACGUAUCCGUUCCCGUUAAGAUGGCCGGUUCUUGGAAUCGUGAUACUUGCUGCGGUUGUCGGAAGUCAAGCUAUCAUCACCGGGACGUUUUCUAUUAUCAAACAGUGUUCGGCAUUGGGUUGUUUCUCGAGGGUCAAAAUAAUCGACACAUCGCCUACUAAUAAGCACGAUCAAAUCUACAUUCCCGAGAUCAAUUGGACUUUGAUGCUUAGCCAUCACAACCGGUUUUCGUGACACCAAACAUAUAAGCAAUGCAGCAGGUAGACAAAGGUAGUAGGUGUCGAUCUUCUUACCAACUGUAACAAAUAGAUGCUGACCAAAAGAGUGAUUGUCCUCUAAAUGAGAUAAAAAUCAUGUUCUUUUUUAUGCUACAUCAAAUUAGAAUAUUUAGUAAUCUACAUUAUAGAAAAUCACACAGUUACAUCGUUGAUUUUUUGUCUUUAUGUCCUUUUUCUCUAAUUUCAAUUUGAAUCGCCAGUAUACAU
This is a long non-coding RNA of Helianthus annuus (common sunflower), 1953 nucleotides long. RefSeq lists it as uncharacterized. The transcript has 10 exons. Lineage: Eukaryota; Viridiplantae; Streptophyta; Magnoliopsida; Asterales; Asteraceae. The record is from RefSeq and is a predicted model, not a curated record.